This 192-nucleotide ribosomal RNA is filed under the name uncultured bacterium. Its description in RNAcentral is "partial 16S ribosomal RNA". It matches the Rfam family "Bacterial small subunit ribosomal RNA", at positions 1309 to 1500 of the family's 1533-position model. The record is from RNAcentral.
AACUCGGCUGCAUGAAGCUGGAAUCGCUAGUAAUCGCGGAUCAGAAUGCCGCGGUGAAUACGUUCCCGGGUCUUGUACACACCGCCCGUCACACCAUGGGAGCCGGGAAUGCCCGAAGUCAGUGGCCCAACCGCAGGGAGGGAGCUGCCGAAGGCAGGCCCGGUGACUGGGGUGAAGUCGUAACAAGGUAAC